Long non-coding RNA from Trifolium pratense (red clover), 401 nucleotides. RefSeq lists it as uncharacterized. Lineage: Eukaryota; Viridiplantae; Streptophyta; Magnoliopsida; Fabales; Fabaceae. The transcript has 3 exons. The record is from RefSeq and is a predicted model, not a curated record.
UGUGGCUUAUCGGCAAAUUAUGGAUAAGGAACCCAGAAAGUUGAUUGUUAAUCAAUUGAAUGCUUACCUCCCAAAAAUCACAAAAAAGCGUGGCCGAAGUUUUUCAAAAGAUAUUAAAUUGUGGUUAAAAAGCUGGGAAUCAAGAAAAUUACAUAUAAUAUCUAUUGAUAACUUGCCUUCACCGCAACCACAUAACAUGGGUAUGGAGAGUGAUUUGAAUCAAGACAGAGUUUUGGUACCAAAUAGAACUCACGUUACAAAUUUGAAGAACAAGCUAAUUGUUUUUUUAUCUAAACGGAGUCUUGGUAGAUUGUGUGACCGUUGAUAAGAAACUUAACCCAGAUUUUGUGUUUAACAAAACAGUAGUAUUCACGAGGCCUUCGUAUCUUGAGUUCCUGGAG